Molecule: long non-coding RNA, 318 nt
Organism: Hibiscus syriacus
Lineage: Eukaryota; Viridiplantae; Streptophyta; Magnoliopsida; Malvales; Malvaceae
Exons: 2
Source: RefSeq, a predicted model, not a curated record
UUAUCUGUCAAUCGUUCACUUUACAAAACAAUAUUCAAAAUGGCAAGGCUCACUCCAUCAAUUUCAAUUGCUUUCCUUCUUCUAUUGGUUCUUCUAACAAUAGAGAUGACCCCUAUGAAAGUGGAGGGUAAACAUUGUGAAAGUCCAAGCACUAAGUUCAAAGGUAUUUGCGCGAGUAACACUAAUUGUCAGACCGUGUGCGAGUCAGAAGGUUUCACAGAUGGAGAAUGUGAAGGUUUUCGUCGUCGGUGCAUUUGCAAUAAGCCUUGUUGAGUAAUUCAUUAUACAAGAGGACUAACCGCUUAGAUUUAUAUGGUA